RNAcentral lists this ribosomal RNA (383 nucleotides) under Rheumatobates crassifemur crassifemur. Its description in RNAcentral is "partial 16S ribosomal RNA". Lineage: Eukaryota; Metazoa; Arthropoda; Insecta; Hemiptera; Gerridae. The record is from RNAcentral.
AGGCUGCCAUUGAUUUUUUAUUAAAAGGCUGCGGUAUUUUAACUGUACUAAGGUAGCAUAAUCAUUUGUCUUUUAAUUGGAGGCUAGAAUGAAUGGUUUGAUGAAAAAUAUACUUUUUUUUAAUAAUUUUAUUGAAUUUAAUUUUUAAGUUAAAAAGCUUAAAUUUUUUUAUAGGACGAGAAGACCCUAUAGAAGUUAACUUAAAUUAUAAUUUUUAUUUUUUGUUUUUAAUUUUUUAUUUUAUUUUUUUAAGUUUUGUUGGGGUGACAUUAAAAUUUUUAAAACUUUUAAUUUUUAUUUUCAUUUAUUUAUGUUUUUUUGAUCCUUAUUUUAGAUUAAAAGAUUAACUUACUUUAGGGAUAACAGCGAAAUUUUUUUAGUUA